RNAcentral lists this ribosomal RNA (575 nucleotides) under Allobates gasconi. Its description in RNAcentral is "partial 16S ribosomal RNA". It matches the Rfam family "Bacterial large subunit ribosomal RNA", at positions 1811 to 2597 of the family's 2925-position model. The record is from RNAcentral. Lineage: Eukaryota; Metazoa; Chordata; Amphibia; Anura; Aromobatidae.
AAACAUCGCCUCUUGUUUAAUCAUAAGAGGUCAAGCCUGCCCAGUGACAUUGUUCAACGGCCGCGGUAUCCUAACCGUGCGAAGGUAGCGUAAUCACUUGUUCUUUAAAUGAGGACUAGUAUGAACGGCUUCACGAGAGCUAUACUGUCUCCUUUACCCAAUCAGUUAAACUAAUCUCCCCGUGAAGAAGCGGGGAUAGACCUAUAAGACGAGAAGACCCUGUGGAGCUUUAAACAUCUUAAACAUUUGUACCCAAGCUAUUAACCUUCCUGUAAAUUCCACUAAACCCAUCAUUCUGUUUUAAGUUUUAGGUUGGGGCGACCACGGAGAACAACCCACCCUCCACGUAGAAAGAACCUUAAUUCUAAGCUAAAAGCUACACCUUUAUGCAUCAAUACAUUGACCUAAAUUGACCCAAUUAUUUUGAUCAACGGACCAAGUUACCCUAGGGAUAACAGCGCAAUCCGCCUUAAGAGCUCCUAUCGACAGGCGGGUUUACGACCUCGAUGUUGGAUCAGGGUGUCCUGGUGGUGCAGCAGCUACCGAUGGUUCGUUUGUUCAACGAUUAAAACCCU